AAUUUCUAGUUUCCCAAAAAAAAAAAAAAGGAAAUUCAACAAAGCUUCAUUAAGGAGGACAACUACAAAUUCUCAAAAGCUUCACACUAUCUUGAUCAAGAUAGUGUGAAGCAAAAUCAAUUCAUGGUACCCAACAAAAGCUUCAACUCCAAAGCUUCACCAACAAAAGCUUCAUCAAUCUAGGACAACUACAAAUUCUCAAAAGCUUCACACUAUCUUGAUCAAGAUAGUGUGAAGCAAAAUCAAUUCGUGAUACCCAACAAAGCUUCACCACAAAAGCUUCACCAACAAAAGCUUCAUCAAUGGAGGACAACUACAAAUUCUCAAAAGCUUCACAUUAUCUUGAUCAAGAUAGUGUGAAGCAAAAUCAAUUCAUGGUACCCAACAAAAACUUCAACUUCAAAGCUUCACCCAUAAAAGCUUCACCAACAAAAGCUUCACCCACAAAAGCUUCACCAACAAAAGCUUCACCCACC
RNAcentral lists this long non-coding RNA (476 nucleotides) under Malus domestica (apple). Its description in RNAcentral is "long non-coding RNA (MDOM_LNC014260)". The record is from RNAcentral. Lineage: Eukaryota; Viridiplantae; Streptophyta; Magnoliopsida; Rosales; Rosaceae.